UACGAAGGGGGCUAGCGUUGCUCGGAAUUACUGGGCGUAAAGCGCACGUAGGCGGCUUUCUAAGUCGGGGGUGAAAUCCUGGAGCUCAACUCCAGAACUGCCUUCGAUACUGGAAAUCUCGAGUCCGGGAGAGGUGAGUGGAACUGCGAGUGUAGAGGUGAAAUUCGUAGAUAUUCGCAAGAACACCAGUGGCGAAGGCGGCUCACUGGCCCGAUACUGACGCUGAGGCACGAAAGCGUGGGGAGCAAACAGG
Molecule: ribosomal RNA, 253 nt
Filed under: uncultured bacterium
Lineage: Bacteria
Description: partial 16S ribosomal RNA
Rfam family: Bacterial small subunit ribosomal RNA
Source: RNAcentral